This is a long non-coding RNA of Physella acuta, 233 nucleotides long. RefSeq lists it as uncharacterized. The record is from RefSeq and is a predicted model, not a curated record. NCBI's taxonomy places the organism in Eukaryota, Metazoa, Mollusca, Gastropoda, Physidae.
ACACUCCUGCUGCUCAGUUUAUGCCAUCUCAACAUGAAAAUGGUUUCCGGAGUUUUCAUGCUUGGCGUUUUCGCUGUUGUUUUUAUUACGUUUGAUGUUUUGAAUGGAUAUGUUGUUGGAAAAGUUGUGGGAUGUUAUUUCGAGGGGGAAUUACACCAAAACGGGGAAACUUUUGUUUCUAAUUGUUUAAAAUACAAAUGUAACGAUGGAACGAGGACCUUGAUCGAAGGGGG